GCUGGAUGUGGACUUGGACUCUGUCGUGUUACAGYGACUGGUCUGAAAUGCCUGAGUGCACCCUGCUGUUGCAGCGUCUUCAGUGUGAUAAGCAUCUUCACUGAUUCAAGUUCCUUYGGGACACGUAGCAUUGUGGGCUCUGUGCUGACGAACCGUCUUUGGACAAUCUUUGACAAUUUGACCUCAAAUCGGGUGGGACUACCCGCUGAACUUAAGCAUAUCAAUAAGCGGAGGAAAAGAAACUAACAAGGAUUCCCCUAGUAACGGCGAGUGAAGAGGGAAAAGCUCAAAUUUUGAAUCUGGUGUCUUUGGCGCCCGAGUUGUAAUCUAGAGAAGUGUUUUCUGCCUCGGACCACACAUAAAUUCCCUGGAAUGGGGUGUCAUAGAGGGUGAGAAUCCCGUUUGUGGUGUGGACUACCUUGGCUCUGUGAUACACUCUCAACGAGUCGAGUUGUUUGGGAAUGCAGCUCAAAAUGGGUGGUAAAUUCCAUCUAAAGCUAAAUAUUGGCGAGAGACCGAUAGCGAACAAGUACCGUGAGGGAAAGAUGAAAAGCACUUUGGAAAGAGAGUGAAACAGUACGUGAAAUUGUUGAAAGGGAAGCGUUUGAAGUCAGUCACAUCGGUCGGAAUUCAGCCUGGCUUUGCCUGGUGUACUUUUUGGCAGAUGGGUCAGCGUCAAUUUUGACUGAGGGAAAAAGACUUGAGGAAUGUGGCUGUCUUCGGGCAGUGUUAUAGCCUCUUGUUGUAUGUCUCAGUUGGGAUUGAGGACCGCAGCACGCCUUAUGGCCGGGGUUCGCGCCCUCGGAACGUGCUUAGGACGCUGGCAUAAUGGCUUUAAGCGACC
Molecule: ribosomal RNA, 844 nt
Filed under: uncultured Sebacinales
Lineage: Eukaryota; Fungi; Basidiomycota; Agaricomycetes; Sebacinales
Description: eukaryotic LSU rRNA
Source: RNAcentral